This is a non-coding RNA of Arachis ipaensis, 167 nucleotides long. NCBI's taxonomy places the organism in Eukaryota, Viridiplantae, Streptophyta, Magnoliopsida, Fabales, Fabaceae. The record is from RefSeq and is a predicted model, not a curated record.
GGCCAUGUGUGCUAUAAAUUCUGAAAAUCGCAAGAAGCAACAAUGGAGGCAUAAAAUGGGACCAAUCAAUUUUGCAAGAGUGCGUGUUGAUUUGCGUGAGAAAAAAGAGAACAAAGAGGAACCAAAUCAAGCUGAAAUGUUUGUUGCAACUCGGAAUGGACUAAAAG